Molecule: ribosomal RNA, 488 nt
Filed under: uncultured bacterium
Lineage: Bacteria
Description: bacterial SSU rRNA
Rfam family: Bacterial small subunit ribosomal RNA
Source: RNAcentral
GUGGCGGCGUGCCUAAUACAUGCAAGUCGUACGAGGUAAUCCAGCUUGCUGGAGAGACCUAGUGGCGAACGGGUGAGUAAUACGCAAGUAACCUGCCUGCAAGGGACUGGGAUAACACCUGGAAACGGGCGCUAAUACCGGAUAGGUAACAGAGGGGCAUCCCACUGUUAUAAGGUUAAAGACACAAGCAGAUGGGCUUACGGUGCAUUAGCUAGUUGGUGAGGUAACGGCCCACCAAGGCGAUGAUGCAUAGCCGGCCUGAGAGGGUGAACGGCCACAUUGGGACUGAGACACGGCCCAGACUCCUACGGGAGGCAGCAGUAGGGAAUUUUCGGCAAUGGGCGCAAGCCUGACCGAGCAACGCCGCGUGAAGUGAAGAAGAAUUUCGGUUCGUAAAGCUCUGUUGUAAGGGAAGAAUAACACGGAGAGAAUCCGUGCAUGACGGUACCUUACCAGAAAGCCACGGCUAACUACGUGCCAGCAGCCGC